GACGAACGCUGGCGGCGUGCUUAACACAUGCCAGUCGAACGGAAAGGCCCUGCUUUUGUGGGGUGCUCGAGUGGCGAACGGGUGAGUAACACGUGAGUAACCUGCCCUUGACUUUGGGAUAACUUCAGGAAACUGGGGCUAAUACCGGAUAGGAGCUCCUGCUGCAUGGUGGGGGUUGGAAAGUUUCGGCGGUUGGGGAUGGACUCGCGGCAUAUCAGCUUGUUGGUGGGGUAGUGGCUUACCAAGGCUUUGACGGGUAGCCGGCCUGGGAGGGUGACCGGCCACAUUGGGACUGGGAUACGGCCCAGACUCCUACGGGAGGCAGCAGUGGGGAAUAUUGCGCAAUGGGCGGAAGCCUGAUGCAGCAACGCCGCGUGCGGGAUGACGGCCUUCGGGGUGUAAACCGCUUUCGCCUGUAACGAAGCGUGAGUGACGGUAAUGGGUAAAGAAGCACCGGCUAACUACGUG
This 468-nucleotide ribosomal RNA is filed under the name uncultured bacterium. Its description in RNAcentral is "partial 16S ribosomal RNA". It matches the Rfam family "Bacterial small subunit ribosomal RNA", at positions 28 to 507 of the family's 1533-position model. The record is from RNAcentral.